CCUACGGGUGGCUGCAGUGGGGAAUAUUGCACAAUGGGCGCAAGCCUGAUGCAGCCAUGCCGCGUGUGUGAAGAAGGCCUUCGGGUUGUAAAGCACUUUCAGCGGGGAGGAAGGCGUUAAGGUUAAUAACCUUGGCGAUUGACGUUACCCGCAGAAGAAGCACCGGCUAACUCCGUGCCAGCAGCCGCGGUAAUACGGAGGGUGCAAGCGUUAAUCGGAAUUACUGGGCGUAAAGCGCACGCAGGCGGUCUGUCAAGUCGGAUGUGAAAUCCCCGGGCUCAACCUGGGAACUGCAUUCGAAACUGGCAGGCUAGAGUCUGGUAGAGGGGGGUAGAAUUCCAGGUGUAGCGGUGAAAUGCGUAGAGAUCUGGAGGAAUACCGGUGGCGAAGGCGGCCCCCUGGACAAAGACUGACGCUCAGGUGCGAAAGCGUGGGGAGCAAACAGGAUUAGAUACCCGAGUAGUC
RNAcentral lists this ribosomal RNA (465 nucleotides) under uncultured Klebsiella sp. Its description in RNAcentral is "bacterial SSU rRNA". It matches the Rfam family "Bacterial small subunit ribosomal RNA", at positions 338 to 795 of the family's 1533-position model. The record is from RNAcentral. Lineage: Bacteria; Pseudomonadati; Pseudomonadota; Gammaproteobacteria; Enterobacterales; Enterobacteriaceae.